AACGGUGGCUAAUACCGCAUAACGUCGCAAGACCAAAGAGGGGGACCUUCGGGCCUCUUGCCAUCAGAUGUGCCCAGAUGGGAUUAGCUUGUUGGUGGGGUAACGGCCCACCAAGGCGACGAUCCCUAGCUGGUCUGAGAGGAUGACCAGCCACACUGGAACUGAGACACGGUCCAGACUCCUACGGGAGGCAGCAGUGGGGAAUAUUGCACAAUGGGCGCAAGCCUGAUGCAGCCAUGCCGCGUGUAUGAAGAAGGCCUUCGGGUUGUAAAGUACUUUCAGCGGGGAGGAAGGGGAUGUGGUUAAUAACCGCAUU
RNAcentral lists this ribosomal RNA (316 nucleotides) under Salmonella bongori serovar 40:z35:-. Its description in RNAcentral is "bacterial SSU rRNA". It matches the Rfam family "Bacterial small subunit ribosomal RNA", at positions 155 to 472 of the family's 1533-position model. Lineage: Bacteria; Pseudomonadati; Pseudomonadota; Gammaproteobacteria; Enterobacterales; Enterobacteriaceae. The record is from RNAcentral.